GGCGGCCGGCGCCUGCAGCUUUGAGAGAAAAUGGCUCCACGCACGGGCCGGGCUGCGUGGGUCGUGGGCAGAGACGUAAAAUUUCCGGAAAUUUUGAAGCUAUGGAAAAUACCCGCGGGUUUUUUCCGUUGUUUUUUGUGUGGAAAAACCCGGAAAUUUUCAGGAAAAUUGAAAUAAUGCAAUAUUGGCACUUUUUACAGCUUGAAACUCACUUUGUUACUCCAGGAACAUAAAAGGGUUUGGAGAAUGAUUUGCUUCAGAAGCAGUUAUGAGACCCGAAAGGGGUAAUUUAGCAUGCUGUUGAACAUCAUAAAUCAGAUUUGAAACUCUCUGGCUCCAUCUACUGCAGCCAAACACUGGAUCAACAUUUUCAUCAAGCUAUGUCCACAACCACAAGAUCUUUCUUCAUCAGUCACCGCAAUCCACCACACUGAA
Molecule: long non-coding RNA, 435 nt
Organism: Elgaria multicarinata webbii
Lineage: Eukaryota; Metazoa; Chordata; Lepidosauria; Squamata; Anguidae
Exons: 3
Source: RefSeq, a predicted model, not a curated record